This 252-nucleotide ribosomal RNA is filed under the name uncultured bacterium. Its description in RNAcentral is "partial 16S ribosomal RNA". It matches the Rfam family "Bacterial small subunit ribosomal RNA", at positions 93 to 353 of the family's 1533-position model. The record is from RNAcentral.
GAGCGGCGAACGGGUGAGUAACACGUAGGUGAUCUGCCCAUCAGACGGGGACAACGAUUGGAAACGAUCGCUAAUACCGGAUAGGACGAAAGUUUAAAGGUGCUUCUGGCACCGCUGAUGGAUGAGCCUGCGGCGCAUUAGCUAGUUGGUAGGGUAAAGGCCUACCAAGGCGACGAUGCGUAGCCGACCUGAGAGGGUGACCGGCCACAUUGGGACUGAGACACGGCCCAAACUCCUACGGGAGGCAGCAUG